RNAcentral lists this unclassified non-coding RNA (563 nucleotides) under Hevea brasiliensis (rubber tree). The record is from RNAcentral. Lineage: Eukaryota; Viridiplantae; Streptophyta; Magnoliopsida; Malpighiales; Euphorbiaceae.
AUUGUAUCCUCUAUUUCUUUUCUAUGAGCUGCAAUUAGGGCCUCUUCUUCCUCAAGUAUGGCAUCGAUAUUCCCAUCUGAAGGAGGAUCAGGCUCAUGCUGUCGCAAUCCAGUAUUGUAGUUUCCUGUAUUCAGCUGCCUAGAGUUUGCAGAAGGAAGAUCAGAACCAUUGUUAUCCUUUUUCAACCAGUUGCCAAGCUUUUCCGAUUUUUCCUCCCUAGGUCCUUUCCUACGAGGUGGUGACACCUUUUGCAUCUUCUCUUCUGUAUCCACAGAGUUUUGGGAGCAUGGUGACUGGACUUUUUGACUUGUGGAACCACAAUAAGAAUUACUAAUUUCAAUCUUCUCCCUAUCCACAGAGCCAGAAGACCCACUUUCUUCUCGUCCACUCAAGGGAUAACUUGAAGAAAAACUUGAGGGCUGUUUGUCAAAAUCAGUAGUAGGAUUGUAAGAAAAAGUUUCUUUUUCUACCACCUUUCUACCUGUAUCCACUGCUUUCACCUCUUGUUUUUCAAAAACAUCAUCUACAUCAGCAGGCAAAGAUGAUGCUGAUGAUACAUCCUU